UGAACGCUGGCGGCGUGCCUUAGGCAUGCAAGUGGAACGGUCCCGCUUCGGCGGGAUAGUCGCGAACGGCUGAGUAACACGUAAGAAUCUACCUUUUGGUGUGGAAUACCUCGUCGAAAGACGGGCUAAUACCGCAUAAGGUGCUUGCACGAAAGGGCUUAACUGCCCGCCGAAAGAUGAGCUUGCGGCCCAUCAGCUUGUUGGUAGGGUAAUGGCCUACCAAGGCUAUGACGGGUAGGGGACGUGAGAGCGUGGCCCCCCAGAAUGGGACUGAGACACGGCCCAUACACCUACGGGUGGCAGCAACUAGGAAUCGUGCGCAAUGGACGAAAGUCUGACGCCGCGACGCCGCGUGAGGGAUGAAGGCCUUUGGGUUGUAAACCUCUUUUGCCAAGAAGUAAAUGUCUUGGAGAAUAAGCAUCCGCUAACUACGUGCCAGCAGCUGCGGUGAUACGUAGGAUGCAAGCGUUGCCCGGAUUUAUUGGGCGUAAAGCGUUUCGUAGGCUUUUUUGUAAGUUGUGUUUCAAAGCCCGGGGCUCAACCUCGGAAAGGGGCACAAUACUGCAGGAAUUGAAGGGUCUAGGGGCUACUGGAACUAUCGGUGUAGGGGUGAAAUCCGUUGAUAUCGAUAGGAACACCAAGGGCGUAGGCAAGUAGCUGGGGACUUUUUGACGCUGAGGAACGAAAGCUAGGGGAGCGAAAGGGAUUAGAGACCCCUGUAGUCCUAGCCGUAAACGAUGCUCGCUAGUCGGGUGCCGCAAGGUGCCUGACGCAAGUUGACACGUUAAGCGAGCCGCCUGGGGAGUACGAGCGCAAGCUUAAAACUCAAAGGAAUUGACGGGGACCCGCACAACCAGUGGAGCAUGUGGUUUAAUUCGAGACGAAACGAAGAACCUUACCUGGACUUGACAUGCUAUCGUUUUAGUUUUUUAGAAAUAAGAGACGAUCCGCAAUUUGUGGAAGAUAGCACAGGUGCUGCAUGGCUGUCGUCAGCUCGUGCCGUGGGGUGUUCCCUUCAGUGGGGUAACGAGCGCAACCCCUGUCCUGAGUUAAAUAUUCUCAGGAGACUCCCUCGCUUUUGCGGGGGGGAAGCGGGGACGACGUCAAGUCAGCAUGGCCCUUAUGUUCAGGGCAACACACAUACUACAAUGGAGCCGACAAUGGGUUGCCAAGUGGUAACACGGAGCUAAUCCCAUCAAACGGCUUCUCAGUGGGGAUUGAGGGCUGCAACUCGCCCUCAUGAACGUGGAAUUGGUAGUAAUCGGCAGUCAGCUAUAUGCCGGUGAAUACGUUCUCGGGUCUUGUACACACCGCCCGUCAAGUUAGUGAAGUUGGGGGCACCCGAAUUCCCGUCGUACGGGAGCAAGGUGAAACCAGCGAC
Molecule: ribosomal RNA, 1381 nt
Filed under: uncultured bacterium
Lineage: Bacteria
Description: 16S ribosomal RNA
Rfam family: Bacterial small subunit ribosomal RNA
Source: RNAcentral